GAGAGUUCCUCUGCUGCCUUUAGCCUGGAAAUGGAAUGGAGCAGGAAACAGUCUAAAAUGUGUCUCAGAUCAGUCUAGACAGGUAUUAUCUACACAAAGCACAUCCACAGCAGAGCCGGUUACAGGUGUGGCAUCGUGCCCUCCUGGGCAGGAACCACAAAGAAAUGGGACGAUGGCCUCAGGUCUCCAGGACGCCACGAGUGUGGCUGAGGACACUGCACAGACCACAUAGUCGGAGGCAGCAGCAAGAUGUAGCUGGCUGAGGCUGUUUUACCCUCCUCCUCUUGGCCAGAGUGGAUUUCCAGGGAGGAGGUAGGCACAGUCUUGUGCCAUUUUCCUGCCCAGUCUUGAAAAAAAUUCCAUGAGCCAUGAAGGUGAAAGGACCGGUCAGCAAAGCACGUGCAGCUACCAUUUGCAGGUCAGAGAUGAUGGUUUUUCACCCUGCAGUAAGGUUCUCUUUUUGCCCUUGGGAAGACCAGUGUGGACAACUUAUGAGAGAAGUAUUUCUCAAAUAUAAAGACAGGCCAUGUUUUCAAGGCUGUAGCCUCAAGCCCUCCGCUGGACUAGCAAAACUGAGCUCAGAACUCAGCCAUGCAAAUCUUUCACCCACAGAAAGGGAUGGAACUGCAUGAAGCAUGGACAGGACCCUGGAGUUCCAGAAAGGGAUAGACUCAAUCUGUACAUGUUAUUGUCAUAAAGUGCAUACUGUUGAUUACAAACCACUGUGAACAUAUGUAUUUUUUAAAAUUUUGUUUCAAAGGGAUUGCUUUUUUCUCUCAUUGUCUUGUCGUGUACAAACUAGUUUUUAUAGCUAUCAACAUUAGGAUUAACUCAACCAUGCCAGCAUCACUGGUAUGAUGUAUAUUUAAUCAAAGCACACUUUCCCCUACCGUAUACUCAUAAUGACGAUUAAAGCCAUUAUUUUAAAUGUUUGUGACUCUUUCCUAAAGCCAAAGUUUCUGUUGAAAUAUGAAUUGACACACCCCUAAGUACAAGGUUGUGUACAUGGUUGUGUACACAUGCUACCUUCCUAGGGAUUCAAAAACAGGUUUUUGGUUUUGAAUAGCAAUUAGUAACAUAGUGCUAUUUCAGGUAGUAAUGAUUAAAGUUAAUAACAUUUUGUACAAUUUCCACAUAGUCUAUUCAUUAAGUAAUCUUUUUACAGUUUCAUCAGGCCUGAACCCGUCCAUUCAGAAAGCUUCAAAUUAUAGAAACAAUACUGUUCUAUACGAGUGACCGAUUAUGCUUUCUUUGGCCUACAUUCUUUAUUCUGCGGUGAAGUUGAGGCUUAGAAGUCAAAACAAAGGAACUAACUUACUAUCCACCAGUUUAUACAGAACUCACAGUAUCUAUGACUUUUUUUUUAAUCUAUGACUUUUUUAAACUAAGAUCUGUUAAAAAGAAAUCUGUUUGAACAGAUGACCGUGUACAUACCAUGUGGUGAAAAUGAAUUCAUACUUCUUAAACGACAAACUUGUUAAAUCCUCUCAGUGUCUAUUUAUCAGCACAAUACACACAGGAGAACUGUUGAUGGCAUAUUGAAUAGAUUUUAAUGAAUAAAUUGCUCUGGAAACCAAAAAAAGGAAAGGGAUAGAAGGCAACAGGGGUAGACGACUUCAGAACGCUGUGAUUUGGAGAGAACCUCCUUUGUGACAUUUUGACAAAAUGGUAAGGAGCUUACAUUUUUCCUGCUCAUUCAUCAAUUGGGUAGAAUUGACUGGUCCCUUAAUUGAUCACGCAACUAUAAAAGUAGGAAUAGGAAACAUAAUAGUUUGCCAAAACCCCUGCUUUAAUGUCACGUGUUUUUUUACUGUGCUUUUAAAAUGAUUGUUACUGGGCACCUGGGGGCUCAGUGGUUGAGCAUCUGCCUUCGGCUCAGGUUGUGAUCCUGGGGUCCUGGGGUCGAGUCCUACAUCAGGUUCCCCACAGGGAAACUGCUUAUCCCUCUGCCUGUGUCUCUGCCUCUCUCUCUGUGUCUCUC
Molecule: long non-coding RNA, 1981 nt
Filed under: Canis lupus familiaris (dog)
Lineage: Eukaryota; Metazoa; Chordata; Mammalia; Carnivora; Canidae
Description: lncRNA (ENSCAFG00000057190.1)
Source: RNAcentral